UACAGAGGGUGCUAGCGUUGUUCGGAAUCAUUGGGCGUAAAGGGCGUGUAGGCGGUUUGUUAAGUCAUGUGUGAAAUCCCUCGGCUCAACCGGGGAACGACGCAUGAAACUGGCAAGCUAGAGUACCAAAGAGGGGGGUGGAAUUCCCGGUGUAGCGGUGAAAUUCGUAGAUAUUGGGAAGAACACCGGUGGCGAAGGCGGCUCACUGGCUCAUUUCUGACGCUCAGGCGCGACAGCGUGGGGAUCAAACAGG
This 253-nucleotide ribosomal RNA is filed under the name uncultured bacterium. Its description in RNAcentral is "partial 16S ribosomal RNA". It matches the Rfam family "Bacterial small subunit ribosomal RNA", at positions 524 to 776 of the family's 1533-position model. The record is from RNAcentral.